RNAcentral lists this transfer RNA (69 nucleotides) under Marmota marmota marmota (Alpine marmot). It matches the Rfam family "tRNA". Rfam says of the family: Transfer RNA (tRNA) molecules are approximately 80 nucleotides in length. Their secondary structure includes four short double-helical elements and three loops (D, anti-codon, and T loops). RNAcentral also lists the same sequence under 1 other name. The record is from Rfam by way of RNAcentral. Lineage: Eukaryota; Metazoa; Chordata; Mammalia; Rodentia; Sciuridae.
GGGGCUGUAGCUCAGUGGCAGAGUGCUUGCCUAGCAUGCAUGAAGCACUUGGUUCAAUCCUCAGCAUCA